AGGUACCUCCUGGCAGGCAACUCUCAACAAGAAGCAGCAGCAGUGGAUUGACCAGACGCUGUUUACCAGUAGCUGCCUACAGAGCUCACAGUUCAUCACUGUCCUUUCCCUGGUGGGGUGAAGACCAGAAGAGGGUGAUGUCCUUCCUGUCUUCAAGGCCUGCCUCAGAAAGUGCUGGGUACCCAACCAGGAGCUGCCUACAGAGCUCCCAGUUCAUCACUGUCCUUUCCCUGGUGGGGUGAAGACCAGAAGAGGGUGAUGUCCUUCCUGUCUCCAAGGCCUGCCUCAGAAUGUGCUGAGUGGAGAUCUUCAGUGUUGUUGAACAGUGCCAGAAUUUCUUCCUGGAUGGGACAACUCCAAAUCUCCCAGGUAUUUUGGUUGGUGGGACAGUCCAGAACCACUACAAGCUGAUUUGCCAGUUGUUCAGCAACAUCUACAGGUUUGCAACUCUC
Non-coding RNA from Salmo salar (Atlantic salmon), 452 nucleotides. The record is from RefSeq and is a predicted model, not a curated record. Lineage: Eukaryota; Metazoa; Chordata; Actinopteri; Salmoniformes; Salmonidae.